UAGGGAAUCUUCCGCAAUGGGCGAAAGCUUGACGGAGCAACGCCGCGUGAGUGAUGAAGGUCUUCGGAUCGUAAAACUCUGUUAUUAGGGAAGAACAAAUGUGUAAGUAACUAUGCACGUCUUGACGGUACCUAAUCAGAAAGCCACGGCUAACUACGUGCCAGCAGCCGCGGUAAUACGUAGGUGGCAAGCGUUAUCCGGAAUUAUUGGGCGUAAAGCGCGCGUAGGCGGUUUUUUAAGUCAGAUGUGAAAGCCCACGGCUCAACCGUGGAGGGUCAUUGGAAACUGGAAAACUUGAGUGCAGAAGAGGAAAGUGGAAUUCCAUGUGUAGCGGUGAAAUGCGCAGAGAUAUGGAGGAACACCAGUGGCGAAGGCGACUUUCUGGUCUGUAACUGACGCUGAUGUGCGAAAGCGUGGGGAUCAAACAGG
This 429-nucleotide ribosomal RNA is filed under the name Actinomycetes bacterium. Its description in RNAcentral is "Actinobacteria bacterium partial 16S ribosomal RNA". It matches the Rfam family "Bacterial small subunit ribosomal RNA", at positions 355 to 776 of the family's 1533-position model. The record is from RNAcentral. Lineage: Bacteria; Bacillati; Actinomycetota; Actinomycetes.